Sorex fumeus (smoky shrew) is the source of this 72-nucleotide non-coding RNA. The record is from the annotation of a RefSeq genome assembly. NCBI's taxonomy places the organism in Eukaryota, Metazoa, Chordata, Mammalia, Eulipotyphla, Soricidae.
GCUCCGUAGUGUAGCGGUUAUCACGUUCGCCUCACACGCGAAAGGUCCCCGGUUUGAUCCCGGGCGGGAAUU